GGCUGUCUGGCGCAAUGGUAGCGUGUGAGCCUCCUAAGCUUAAGCUUGUAAGCUCAAGGUUGUAAGCUCAAGGUUGUGGGUUCGAGUCCCACGAUAGUCG
Molecule: non-coding RNA, 100 nt
Organism: Staphylotrichum tortipilum
Lineage: Eukaryota; Fungi; Ascomycota; Sordariomycetes; Sordariales; Chaetomiaceae
Source: the annotation of a GenBank genome assembly